CCUGCCCUUGGGAGGGGAACAACAGCUGGAAACGGCUGCUAAUACCCCAUAGGCUGAGGAGCAAAAGGAGGAAUCCGCCCAAGGAGGGGCUCGCGUCUGAUUAGUUAGUUGGUGAGGCAAUGGCUUACCAAGGCGACGAUCAGUAGCUGGUCCGAGAGGAUGAUCAGCCACACUGGGACUGAGACACGGCCCAGACUCCUACGGGAGGCAGCAGUGGGGAAUUUUCCGCAAUGGGCGAAAGCCUGACGGAGCAAUGCCGCGUGAAGGCAGAAGGCCCACGGGUCAUGAACUUCUUUUCUCGGAGAAGAAAAAAUGACGGUAUCUGAGGAAUAAGCAUCGGCUAACUCUGUGCCAGCAGCCGCGGUAAGACAGAGGAUGCAAGCGUUAUCCGGAAUGAUUGGGCGUAAAGCGUCUGUA
This 417-nucleotide ribosomal RNA is filed under the name uncultured organism. Its description in RNAcentral is "bacterial SSU rRNA". It matches the Rfam family "Bacterial small subunit ribosomal RNA", at positions 125 to 573 of the family's 1533-position model. The record is from RNAcentral.